Molecule: ribosomal RNA, 119 nt
Filed under: Triticum aestivum (bread wheat)
Lineage: Eukaryota; Viridiplantae; Streptophyta; Magnoliopsida; Poales; Poaceae
Source: RNAcentral
GGAUGCGAUCAUAUCAGCACUAAAGCACCGGAUCCCAUCAGAACUCCGAAGUUAAGCGUGCUUCGGCGAGAGUAGUACUAGGAUGGGUGACCUCCUGGGAAGUCCUCGUGUUGCAUUCC